This 465-nucleotide ribosomal RNA is filed under the name uncultured bacterium. RNAcentral's name for it is "partial 16S ribosomal RNA". It matches the Rfam family "Bacterial small subunit ribosomal RNA", at positions 28 to 507 of the family's 1533-position model. The record is from RNAcentral.
GACGAACGCUGGCGGCGUGCUUAACACAUGCAAGUCGAACGGAAAGGCCCUGCUUGCAGGGUACUCGAGUGGCGAACGGGUGAGUAACACGUGGGUGAUCUGCCCUGCACUUCGGGAUAAGCCUGGGAAACUGGGUCUAAUACCGGAUAGGAGCCAUUUUUAGUGUGAUGGUUGGAAAGUUUUUUCGGUGUAGGAUGAGCUCGCGGCCUAUCAGCUUGUUGGUGGGGUAAUGGCCUACCAAGGCGGCGACGGGUAGCCGGCCUGAGAGGGUGGACGGCCACAUUGGGACUGAGAUACGGCCCAGACUCCUACGGGAGGCAUCAGUGGGGAAUAUUGCACAAUGGGCGCAAGCCUGAUGCAGCGACGCCGCGUGGGGGAGGACGGCCUUCGGGUUGUAAACUCCUUUCGCUAGGGACGAAGCUUUUUGUGACGGUACCUAGAGAAGAAGCACCGGCUAACUACGUG